AGUGAUGGGUGAAUGGCCGACCGGCGCACUGGCACCAAAUGCAAAUUUUCAUCAUGGUUGGACUGCAAGAACAGAAAAAGGCAACCAUAAGAUGAGAGUGAAUAAUCUGUUGUUGAUAAUAUCUAUAUAUGCAAUUAAAGAGGAAUAUCUUUUGUUGUAAAAGGGCCAACUUUUUAUUUUGCUUUCCAAUCGGCUUGUGUGGUGCUCAGAAUGCAAGUAUUGUCAUCCUUUUCAAGCUGUCAUCUGCUUCAGUUUCUUUAUAUAAUGUUGUUUUUGAAAUUGCAGUUCAACAAAUUUCCAGUAGGAGUUUUCUAGGAGUGUCAUAUUUUGGCUUAUGGUUAAGAAAUUUUAUCAACUAGAACUAUAUUGUGAGCUGCUUCCCUCUACAAGGUAUGUCUAGCAUGUGUAAUGAUAAAUAUUAUAUGAGAAUUUUGCAAAAAAUGCUCUCUUUAUUUUUCUUUUUGCUAAUUCAGGCUAUUGUUUUUUAAAAAAAAUCAAAUUUCAGAAUUUUUUGACACCUCAUACUUCUGUGCAUGAAAAUGCUCCAACCAUUCAAUGUAAAAAAAAUGUGUCCGAUACCUGAUGAAUAUGUGCAUUGAGUAAAAGGGUUUUCAGGAUUGGUGUUGUUUGGAAAUGUUGUACUGGUUAUAAUGGCCAUUAUUACAUCAGUUGCCAACAAUAUAGUAAAUUAAUGAUGGUUAAGGUUAAACCUUAACCUAAACCAACAUUUCUAUCUUCUUUGACCUAAAGCUAAUCUCGCCCUGGGUUGAGAUUUUUCUAAUUCAACAGACUGAUCUUAAGCUAGAUAAAAAUUGGGUUUGGUUGGAGUAGGAUUUUUAAGCCCCAGUCUAACCGAUCCAACCCGACUGUUCUUAAUGAGCAGGUUGGACAAGGAGUUUUGGUUGAGCCCAAUGCAAGUUUCGUCUAAUAUUUGCUUGGUUCCAAAUAUUUCUCAAAUUUAAUAGACUAAUUAACUAUCAAAAAAAUAAUUAAUAGGCAAAUUUUGUUUCAAAUAUUCAAUAACUAAAAAGAAAUUUCAAAGAAUUUUUGGAGAGAAAGCUAUAAUUUUUUUUGACCACUAACAUUUUUCCUUCCGAGAGAGAGAGAGAGAGUGAUCGAUCGAAGACGAUCCCCCCCCCCUCCAAAACCCCAACCCCAACUCCAACCCCAACAACAACAACAACAACAACAAAAAAUCCCUCAUAGAUAACUAAAAGUUAUAUCAGCUAAACAACAAUAAAUUCUGGAUCUUGUCUUCUUUUUUGUUUCCCUUUCUUCUUUUGUUAUGAGAAACUAAAUUAUUUUUCUUUCGCAUUCUCAACAAUAAUUAGACACUAAAAGUAAAGAGAACUACGUGAGAAAAAUGGGUUGAUAGUAUAAUACAUGAAAAAUGGAGGACUUCCAACUAAGCACUUACAAUUAUCAGCCGAAGAUGUUUAUUCAAGUUAAAAUAAAUAAAGUACAAGUAUAUUGUUUUCAACAAAUAUAGGUCAUGACAUCUUAAUGGCAAAAAUGAGGCAUAUGUGAUUUCUUGGCAUGUGCAAUGCACAUGAGUUGAUGCAUGAGUCAAUGUGAUUCCUCCAUUCAAUUUAUAAUAGAUUUAUUUUCCAGAGAUAGCUAAACAUAUCCUUACUUUUAAUAAUUUAAUUUGAGGAUAAAAGUUAAGCCUUGGUUUAAAAUCCAUGCACAAAGACUGGCUCAAAUUCCAGGUCAGGGUUGGGUCCAAAUCAAGUUGGAUCCCAGUUAACCACACCACGUACAUUCUCACCGGGGGUGAUUAUAACCUGAUAGUUGCGUUAAAAGCCGUCUGCGUUUCCGAGAGAGAGAGAGAGAGAGAGAGAUGGCGAUCGCGAGCAGAUUACGAGCUCGCGGAGUUCUUUCGAGAUGCGAGUCGAGUAAUCUUCGAUGUCUACUUCGGCCCUUUUUGAAUCGAGGGUUCUCCUCGAGUUCCAUUCCUUCCCACCUAGAGGCGAGUGAUCUUUUCUUGUUUCCUGUAUUAUUCUUAAUUUGUGUUCUGCUUUUAACGGAUCAAAGUCUGUAAAAAUUUGGUUGAUGCUUGAAUUGGUUGAAAUUUAUAUGAUAACAUCUUGCAAUAAGAGUACAUACCUGUCUUUUUUUAUAAAAAAAAACAUGUUAAUUUGACAGAAAAUAGUUAAUUUUUAGUGGGUUUGAUCAGUUUCAUAAACCAUCUAUGUCCGAAUCGAAGUGGAAGUGGAAAUAUAGAUUGAAAGUUUAGGAUGAUGAAUCGAAGAAUCUGAGAAAAAUAGUUCCUUUGAGGAAAUUAAGCAGCUAAUUUGAAAAGGUUAUUGAAUUUUCUGGAUAAUCUAUUUAUCAGUAAAUAAAGCUGAUCACUGUGCGAGUCAAAGCUGGUGGUUUUGAUGAUGAUAGUAUAGAUUGAGCAUUAGGCUUAAUAUGUGAACUAUUAAAGCCUAAAUCGAAGUUGAAAAUGUAAAAUUGCUGUUUAUGUAGUUCUCUUACCAUCCAGUAUGAGUUUUUGAUCUUGUGGGAGAGUAUACUGCAAGGACACGGAUGAGGUGAAAACCAAAUUAGUGUGACUAAGUAUGAAAAGCUCUAAAUUAGUGUGACUAAGUAUGAAAAGCUCUCACCCUCAUUACAUUUUUCCUUUGGGUAGUCUACUCAGUGCAUUGCCACUUAUAUGAUUUCCAUGGAGAGUAUUAUGUGAACGAAUAGGUUAUUUGUCUGCACUGUAGUUUAGUAAUGAAUCUACAACCAUCAAAUAUAAACUAAACUAAAACACAACGAUUUUUUUUCUUAAAGUUAGCGAGUAUUUAAUCAUAGUUAUUCUAAAAGGUAUUUUUCAUGGUCUGUAGCACCGGUCCGUACCUGUCGGUACGGGCUGGUACGUACCGGUCCGGCCUGGGACCGGUACCGGAUCAACGUGGAAUCCGGUACCAGUAGUUUAUUGUUGGAGAACCGGUACGGGACCGGUUCAGACCGGUACGGGACCGGUACGGACCGGUCCGGGCCGCCACCGGUACGCCGACCGGUACCGGUACGGCGGACCUUACUACUUUCUUUAUUUGUUUUAGAGAUAUGAUUAUUUUCCAUUGAACAAUAUUUGGAUUACUUUUUUCUUGUCUUUCUAUUACCUAUUGAUAUGUUGCAGAGGGUUGGAUUCAUUGGACUUGGAAAUAUGGGUUUCCAUAUGGCAAGUAAUCUGAUAACUGCUGGAUACAAAAUCACUGUUCAUGACAUGUAAAUCUCUCUUGUUCUAUUCUAUUCUAUUCUAUUCUAUAUUCAUGAUUAUUUCUUUUUUACUUCUGAUAUUAUUUCAUUUAUUUGUUAAGUUGUACGCAAUAUACUGUAGCAUUUUCUGUUUCUUUAUAAUCUUUAGUUUUAUGUUUGUUUCUGGUUUCCAGCUAGGAACUAAAAUUGUACAGAGAAUCAAAACUCUCUUAAUUGAGCUGACUCUCGUGUUCAUAAUUCUAAUUUUACUAUUAAUGACUCUAUAGUUGUAUGAUUAUUAUUAGCCUAGUUUAGUCUGUGAAUUUUCAUUUAUUACUUUUUGAGUUUAUUGGAUCAUACAAAAUCUGAGACAUUGGAUGAUUUCUAGUAAUUAUGAUGCCCUGAAAAAGUUCUCGGAUAAAGGAAUUCCUACAAAAGAAACUCCUUGUGAAGUUGCAGAGUCAAGUGAUGUCAUAAUUACAAUGCUACCUUCUUCCUCCAAUGUAAGUCAUUGAUGUUCCAUUCUGUUCACAUAUUUUUCUAUCUUUUCUUAAUAUUGUGUUUUAACCUUUAAAAUUCUUAAUCUCAUUAUCGAACCAACUCUAUGCACAUCCAUUUUUUUGCUUAUUGCCUUUUAGUUUGCCUAUUUUGCUAAAUGAAAUACGCAAGGCCUGCAAAGAAAGCCAAAAUUCCACUUGCACUGCAUCUUAGCAUAGAUGCUAAUUACUUUUACUUUGUUAAAACCACCCAAUGAGUUUUUUGCAUGCCAAAUUUGAGAACUUACCUGUUGCAUAAGCAGGAGUCAUUUGCUCAUAUUAAUAUUAUUAUAACUGAGGAAUUCAUCAAACAUAAUGUACAGGGGAAUAUUUUAGGUUGCCACUCAUACACUGAUUAUAUACCUUUAAAGAAGCCAAUGGCAUGAAAAUUAAGGGCUCUCUGAAUUUUAUCAUGUAGGAUGGUGAUAGUUCUGUCAGAAGUACUUCGAUUUCAUGCUUUGGUAUAUUGUCUCUGACACAGUGAUUGCAUGUUCCUCUGUACCCAUUUGCCUUCUCAAUUCCCCAUUUUGUUGAAGCUUUUUCGUGUCUUUCUUGUGCUGACUAAAAAGACUUCCCUGCUGAUACAUUGGCAUCUUGUACUUCUAUGUUGGACUACAGUCUAUAUAGAUAUUUAUACCACUCUAUUGGAGCUACCUUCCCUUCUCCAUAAAUCUCCUUUGAAUUUUAAGUAUCUGGAGAGCUCUAUUAUUUAUAAUAAGAGUACAGUUGGAUAAGUGUAACCAAAGUUUGCUUUUCAAAGCAUCGUUCAUGUGCAUUUGGAUAUUAAGCAAGGCAUUUGGUCUUAGUUAUCAUUGUGUAGGAAUUAUUGAAUUAUGGUUUUGAACACAUUCCAGAACCUUAAUCCAGUUUCUGCACUUAUUCACAUUUCGUGUGCAUUUGGAUAUUAAGCAAGGUACUUGGUAAUAGUUAUCAUUAUGUAGGGAUUACUGAAUUAUAGUUUUGAAAACAUUCCGGAACCAUUAUCCAGUUUCUGCACCUAUUCACAUUUCCUGUACCUUUGGAUUGUGAGAAUUGAUAUUUGUUCAGUAUCAUAACCAUGGAAUGCCGUACCGGCCCGUACCAGUACGUACCGGUCCGGUCUUAGACCGGUACCGGAACGACAAAAAAACGGGUAUUUUCCGGUUUUUUAUCCGAACCGGCCGGUACGGGCCGUACCGGCCGGUUCGGAGCCUGUACCGGCCUGGUUCGCACCGGUACGAUUAUUUUUUUUUCGCGCUGUAGUUUUUGAAACCACCGCGUACCGUACCGGUACCGGCCGGUAUGUACCGGACCGGUACCGUACCGGUCCGGCCGGCCACCGGUACGCCGACCGGUACCGGUACGGCGGACCUUGAUCAUAACUGUUGGCAUCAUUACGUAGGGAUUACAGAAUUGAUAUUCCAUUUCGUGUUAUUAUCCAUUUUGGAGUAAGAAGAAGAAGAAGAAGAAGAAGAUUGUUAUUGUAGAUUGAAAAGGACUUCCUACAUGUUAACAGAAACCAGUCAGAGUACAAGAAGACGAGAUGUGAUGUUUUCUUUAAGUUUGAAUUUAUUUUCUUUACUAUGAUUGUAUAUCUGCAGAUUUUCUUGUUUUACUAGCUUGGCGUCAUUGCACUCCUUCACAAAUGGCAUAAAUCACAGGCAUGGCAAGGAUUAAAAGACCUUAUUUAAUAACAUAAUGUUUAAGAAAAUGUUUUGUCAAGAUAAUAUGUGGCUUUUCCGAUACUUAAUGCUGUCUGAAAUUUGCAUCCAGACAGAUUUCUAUAUAGCUGAUUGCAUAGAGAUAUAAGUCGCUACAUUAACCUCUAGUUGAUUCAGAUCUUUGACUAAUGUUAUGUGGGUUUCUUCACUGUAGUGUUCAAUGGAAGUAGCUUUGACAUUCUGGAACCAUUUUGCAGGUUUUGGAUGUCUAUACCGGACAAAAUGGCUUGCUACAUUGCAGGAGUCAUCUAAGCCCAUGGUUGUUUAUAGACGCUUCAACAAUUGAUCCACAAACUUCAAGAAUUCUUUCCACAAACAUCUCAAAAUGUCUUCUAAAAGAAAAGAAAGGUUCUGUUCAAGCUGAGGUCUUUUAAUUUCAUGCAUACAUGAUUCUUGGAUAUCUGACCUAUACGGCUCUGCCAUCAUCUCUUUGAGUGAUUUUGUUUAUCUGUCUUUUAAUUUCAUCCAUACAUGAUUCUUGGAAUCUGAUCUGUACCAUCAUCUCUUUGAAUUGAAUUAGAAGCAUUAACAUUGGGUGUGCAAAAAAAAGACUCUUUCCUUUGACAGCUGUGUUGUUUGACAAUCAUAUUACGGUCCUCCGACUUAACUGAACAUAUCAUGCUCUGAAGAAUAUGAUAGCUUUCCUGAAUGCCAACUAAGCCUGCCUUUAUAUGGUAACUCUUGCAAUUCUGUACAUUAGAAGUAGAUGAGAAUUGUUACAUGGAGAUGGAUGUUAGGACUCAGAUCUAACAUAUCUGCAGGAUAUUCUUUGAGGACCCAUUCUUACAAAACUCUGUUAUUUAAAUAGAUAAAUUUGAUGAUAUGACGAUGAUGAAAUCACAUUGUAUCUUAAUAAAAGAAAUGUGAAAAGUGAGGAAAGGAAAGAGAAGAUGGACCACUUCAAGAGGAUCUGGACCUCCUAAUAACCACUUUAAGGAUUGUUAUUUCCCAUUAAUACAUAUAUUUCUUUAUUUUUUCUCCAAAAAAGGCUAGAUAGUUCUUUUAGAUAGAGAUUCUUGACCCUUCUAAAUAUAGAAACUAGAGAUAUGACAUCCUAGACAAUUUGCACAAACCAUAUUUCAAGCAUAUGGAAUCCUAUCUAUCCAUAUCACAACUUUAUGGAACAUCCUACUGAAAUCCCGUAUUAUCAGAAAUCAAAAAUACACCAUAAGAGAAGAAAAUUCUGGGAUAACAAUGAUCUUUCUUAGAAUGAAAAUAAUAUUUCGGUCAUGUAAUAGUCUGUGUUUUCUUUUGGAAGACCUAAGCAAUGGAUCUUAUGUUUUGUUGAGCAGCGACACAAUCUAAAAUGAAAAAUAAUUCACUAAUGCUUUUAGUUUUUGCCAACUUAUUGGCUUACAAAAUUUGGUAUAUUGCUCAAGAAAUCACAUAUUUCUAGCUAAUUAGUGCUGCUAUUCCUUCAUUAUAUUGAGUUUGAUGUGCUAGUAGAUGCGAAACAAUCAUUAUGUUAUUCCUCCAUUAUGUUGGGCUUGAUGCCCCUACCAUAUGGCUAACAAUCAUACCAUGAUGAGUUGGGCACACUGUUUAUCGCUUAUCAUAUGUAAAUCUAGGUAGUAUAUGAAUGAACAAGAAACACUGGUGGUAGGGUGGUGAUCUUCUAAAGAUUGCCAAUAUUACCAUCAACGCAUAGUGAUUUUGGUCGAGUCCAAAAUGAGUUGUUGUAAUAAUGUUGAUAGUCAUGUACAAGCUUUUAGGUGCACCUAAAGGAAAAACAUGGAUACAAUUAGCAAGCUAGAUGAGCCCCAAUAUCUAGGUAGUCAAACCAACUUGUCACUUGAUUCAAUUAUCUAAAUCGAGUGAUUUUUAAAUUGCUUCAAGUAAGACAGUGGUAUUAAAUUAUUGUCACUUGUUAUGGCUUCAGCACUUGAGCAACUAGAGAGCUUCUGGUUUCAGAAAAUACUUUAACACUCAGCUAAAAAAUGCCAGGAAUGACUAUUAUCAUGUUGCUCUUACUUCAUGAGGUUGUGAAGAUGUAUGGUUGGAUCUGAGAUGAAAUCCGGAAUCACAUGUUGGAUGGAUAAAUGAAAUGAUCUUUCAUGAAAAUAAUGGCUAACCUAAAAGGCCAUAUAGGCAAUUUUUAAGUCAAUCUGGUUAUAUAUUCUAUUCAGUCAAAAAUACUUUUUUCAUUUCUUUAUUAUUACUAGCCAUUAACCUGAUGUUAUUGUUCAGGGUUUGCAGACAAUCCACUCAUGUUGGAUGCUCCUGUAUCUGGAGGCGUUCCUGCUGCAGAAGCAGGGACCCUUACUUUUAUGGUACUGCCUUGUGCUCCUCAUUAAUUACAAUAAUUAUUUGGGAGUCACAUAAUGAUAAUUUGGAGGACCAUUAGUUUGAACGGUGUGGAAAUCCAGUUGAGGAUCCUCUCUCACACAUAUACCUGUAUAUAUUUUAUUGACAUGUAGAUACAUGAUUAUGUCCUGACCUGUAAACAAAUCCAAUUUUGUGUUGUAUAGGUUGGUGGCUUAGAGGAGGCAUAUCUGACUGCAAAGCCCUUGUUUCUCUCAAUGGGUAAACAGACAAUCUACUGUGGCAGUUCUGGCAAUGGUGCUGUAAGUUUACUUCUCUUUCUAAUUUCCUAAAUUCCUUUCUGCUGAAUGCCCAUGCCUAUCUCUACUUGUAUGCAAAAAAUAGAAUGUUUGUACUGGGUUGAAAACUAAUUUAAGAACAAUCUCAAAGAGGCAUCCUACUCAUUGUACAACUUUGUUGUAGUGACUGAAAUAUGUGUUAAGAAUGAGGAGCACUAUCUUAUUUCAUUCAAGAGAACUAUCUUACAUUCUCCACCUGCACAGAUGAUUAAAAUUUUCUUUUCAAAGCCAAAUUCCUUGACAAUUAAUUUAGCUAUGGAAAAACUUGAAAGUGGUGUUAGUAUAACUCCAACUAUGAGUUAAUUAUUUUGGUUUGAAGUAUGGUAUGGGCCGGUUCAGCCCUUACUGAACCGGUACGGUUCCGCCAUGAAAACCGGUACGCACUGGAGCCGAGGAAGAAAGGGAGAAAUAGUGAGCGAGCGGGAGCGGGAAGGAGAAGCAGCCACCGCGGACGCCUGUGGAGGGCCGUGGGGGCGUGGCGGAGGCUAUGGCUGCGGAAAAAAAUUUGGAAAUUUUUAAGUGAAGUCGGCAAACCACUUACCGACUUCAUUUAAAAAUUUAAAAAUUUUUUUGCGCAGCCCCCCCCCCCCCGGCCCUCCGCGGCUCUCCUUCUCCCUCUCUCCCCUGCUCGCUCGUUGUUUCUCUUCUCCUUCUCCGGCUCCGGCUGGGCUCUGCCCGUACGGGCCCGAUACCGGGACGGUACCGAACGAGCUGAACCGGUCUGGUCGCCGACCGGUACGGCUUCCGGUACUGGUUCAGCAUUACUCUGGUUUGAAGUACUGGAAAUGUGAAAGUUUGUGUCCCACAUGUGAGGAAAUUGAUUUUUGAAAAAAAGGGGCAAUUGAAACAUAGAAAACCGAGCUUAACUUCACGGAACAUGCAUAAAUUUUGGAAGCCCCAACUGGUGCUUUUGUAUUCAUAAACUAGAACUUUUAAGUAUCCCCUAUAUCAUAUGAGUAAGCAGCUAGAAUAAUUGCAAUAUUUUCUUUGGUCUAAUGGCAUGUCAUUUUCCUGUUAAUUGCUUGGUCAUGAUAGCAUGUCCAUCCCAUUUCUAUUUAGUUAAGUGUAAAUAUGUUUGAUUCAAGUGAGAAUUAGUAUUCCAGCUGUGAUGGCAAGGAGGAUGAACAGAGCUGUUGUAAAUAUGUGCAGUUCCAUCACAUCACAAGAUGAUGUUCAUAAUUCUAUCAGCUUUGGAACUGACCCUGAGUUCACCUUGAGUGUGGUUUUUGGUCUCAGGCAGCAAAAAUUUGCAAUAAUUUGGCAAUGGCUGUUAGCAUGCUUGGGGUCUCUGAAGCAUUUGUUCUUGGUCAGCAUCUAGGGAUUACAGCUAGCACGUUAACAAAAAUUUUCAAUUCAUCAAGUGCUCGCUGUUGGAGUAGGUAGUGUACCCUCAUCUUAUGUCCUAAAUGUAUUUGUUCAAUAUUUAGAGAAGCAUAUGGUACAAAAGUCUCUCCUAAUGAAGCCUAAAUUUGUCUCUCAAAUCUAUUUUGUAUAAUGCUGAUAUGCCUUUGACUUUCUCUUGAUGUUAACUAAAAUGCCUCUCAACCUACUUUGCGUAAUGCCAAUAUGCCUUUGGACAAACAAACAAUCCUUCCCAUUAAUUGUACAUGUGAACACUUGGAUGACUGGUUUAUUGCAAUAUUGAGAGAGUUCAGCUGGUUGUCUGAACCAUUUUCUCUUAAUUCCCAUAAACAAGUAUUUUCUUCCUUCUUGGCCAUGAUAUCAUCUUCUGCCAACUUGAUCUUUUCAUCCUUCAUAGGAAUGGUUCUUGCUGAUGAUCAAUAACUUUCUCUUGUUAAUCAUGGAAAACUUUCUUUGUGAAGUUUCUUAUCUUCACAAGAGUUUCAGGAAACGUUAUUAUUACUUAAUUUCUAGGAAAUUGGUUAAACGUAGGUAUCCUAGAGUUCCACUACUUUUAUAAAAAUUUGAUGUAUCAGGUGGUGCCAACCCAAAAUAGUUACCUCAAGCCUUAUCCUUUUGUUACAUUGCUUGCUUUGAGAUCUUGAGAUUGAUAUAGUAACAACAAAAGCUGACAAUUUCAGUCCUUGUGAUAUGCUUUGUCAUUGGCUUACAAGGUUACCAACCAGGCUUCCCACAUAGCAAAGACUUGACCAAAAUUAUGCUCAUUCAUGUUCAUUAUGUUAGGUGCGUUCAGUUAGAACAUCCUAUAAUACCCUUGUCCAUAAAAUACUCAGAUGUUAUUACCAAAAAGAAUGAGAUCUUAAGUGUUCUGUCCUUUCUAUGAAUUUAUUGACAUUGAUUAACCCUGGCGAAGUAGAUCUUGAACUGUUGUCUAAUUUUCACAACAUUUGAUAGUGACAGUUACAACCCAGUCCCUGGAGUAAUGGAAGGGGUGCCUUCAUCAAGGAAUUAUGAUGGCGGAUUCGCAUCUAAACUAAUGGUAUGCAAUAUGUGUUUAUGCUGGCUUUAUACAAAGUUUUAAUUGAUAAUAUUGGUCUGAUCUCUCAAAAAUUUCAUAACAAAGAACGGGCAAUACCCUCAGCUGAUGAUUAUAAUUAUAUGUAUCCUCACAUUGAUUGUCAUUACUAACAUCCAACUAGGCAUUUCUUGUUAUCAAGUAAUUUAUGUAUGUUUAAUUUACUAUGAGGUUGCUCCAUGUGUUUAAUUCUACUCAGAGAACCCAUCUUCCUAUUAGAUUGCAAUUUUUAGUGCUCAAUUUCAAUCUUACAUUGAAAAGACUGCUCCAUACGAAACUUAACAUUCAACACACCUUGUGGUGUCUCCAUUUCUCAUUCCCAGAUGAUGUUUAACCAUCAUUGAAUUUUUGAAAUAUGAAAAGGCCUUUGCAAUAUUGAUGGGAAUACUCCGUUCUAUGUAAACUUCAGUUCUGAUGAUGCAUUGAUGUGAUAUAAUAAAUUCUAGUUUCUCUCUUACUUUCUCUGAUAGUAUUGCAUAUUUUGAUCCCCCUGAUUCAUCAUUUUUCCCCUAGAAAGAAGCUUAUAGUUGCACCAAGGGUAUAGUUCCAGGCUAGAUGCAUGUUGAAAUCAAUCAGCCGAUCAUGAUACAAGAAUAAUUUUCAUACAGGCUAAAGACUUGACAUUGGCCAUGACAUCUGCAGGAGAGAUCGGUCUCAAGUGCCCCCUUACUUCUGAAGCACGUGAUAUGUGAGUUACCCUCAGAGUAAAUUUAAGUGUUUUGAGAAAAAAAGACCUCCUUGUAAUCUUCGAUAUUUUACAUUUAAUUUUGGUUUUAACACUGCUUCUAUAAACAAAUUUCUGAUUGCAGUUACAUGGAAUUGUGUGCGAAGGGCUAUGACUCUAAGGACUUCUCCUGUGUCUUCCGCCAUUUUUACUCCGGUAAGGAUGAGAGCUAGGUAGAUCUGUGGUCAUCACUGUGCACUAGUUCAUCAAACAUGCUUUGUAUAGGAUCAAAAAUGGAUAUGUAAGGAGUGAAUGUUAAAUUGUAUCCAAGUAGUUUCUCAUAAUCAUAAUCUUUUCUAGCCUUCUUUUUUCCUGAUUAUUUGAGAUUGAUUUUAUGGAUUCUCAUUCGCAAGUAUUCAUAUUUAGGAUCACCUCUGAUGUCAUUCCAAAUUUCUUCAUAUUGUUCCUUAUAAUCUCCAUCUAUAUUAAGUUAUGACUUCCUCUUUUUUACAAUCUUCAAUGUAAACUAAAGUACCUCUCCUUAUAUGAGCCUUCUCAGAUCUUUGUUGUAUAUAACCAUACAAUCUCAAUCGGUUUUCUAUCACUUUAAGUCGCCACAACUCCCAGUAUUUGUUAAUGCUCAGCAUGCAUGUACUCAGUUAUUUCAAUAUAUCAUUUAUAUAUAAUACCUUUCCUUCCUAGAGUUCGUGUAAUCACUUGUCAUCCUAUCAUCAAUUUUCUGUAAAUCAAUAAAGAUCAUAUGCACACUUGUUCCCUUUCUCUAUAUUUUUCUAUCAAUUAUGUAAACAAAAAGAUGGCUUCCCUUGUUGAUAUUUCAGGUAUAAAUCCAAGUUGGUUAUUUAAAAUAGUUAUUAUUUGUCUUAAUGUUUUUCAACUUUCCCAUUCUUAUUAUUUCAUAGUGACUCAUAAACUAUGAGUUGUAGUGAUGUAGUUUUUGCUUAAAAGAAAGAAAAAGAAUCAUGUAAGUUAGAUGAGAAACACUUUGAGCCUGGCCUCAUUUGACAUGAGGCUCAAUUAAGCUUGACCUCCCUUGGCAACAUACAACUGCCUCAAGAAAUUUUGCAUCCGACAUUAUGAAACUCAGGAACUUCCAUUAUGAAGAGGGAUCAAGGCUGCAAUAUUAUUCCUAGCAGGGAUCUUACUUUCUCGCAUGCCUCCCUUUACAUUGUUAUAUAUUAAUUACAACAUAAUUCAAAGCUCAUCAAAACUUAAGAAAAAAAGCUCGUGUCAACGAAAACCCUAAUGUAAAAUUUGCUAUUCAUUACAGUAGAUCUCUAUUUUGCCUUUCAUGAAGCGCAGGUGUGAUAAUUAAUUGAUUGGAGCUAAUUCACUGAUAUAUCAUAUCUAAAUGCAAAGGUAUCGAUAGGUAUGAAUUACAUAAUUCAUACUUAACUGGAGAAAUAAAGCUCAUGAUGUAGAAAAUCUCAACUGAAAGUUUACUAUACAUCAUAUUCUAUCACUGCUGCGUCUCUCAUCAAGCUCAGGAAUGAUGAUUAAGUGAUUGAAGCUAAUUCACCAAUUCAGCAUAUCUAAAUGCAAAGGUUGGCACCACCUGUGCUUGCUCCGAUGGUAUCAUUCCUCGUCGCUUGGACAUGUCAGCAUGGAUCGAUUUCGGUUGGAGUCGGCUCUUGACAGGUAAAAUAGGUGUAGGGUUGAAAGAGAUGGGGAUUAUAGUGAUUAACCCCUUCUGAUCAGAGAGAGAGAGAGAGAGAGGUGUUAUUAGAGUACAUGGCAAAAGCCACCCUAGAAUGGAUAUUCAAAGGCAAUCUUCCUCCACCUUGAGCUGUAUAUCUUGUUCAGAAGCCUAGAACUUCAAACUAACUUCAACUUCGAACUCAGAAUCUUCCUCCGCCUUGAGCUGUAUAUCUUGUGCCAGGGAUGACAACUGAUUUAGGGCAGGUUGGUUCGGACUUCAAACUCACGGGUAAAUAUCUCUCACCAGAACAAAAUCCAUGUAGUUUAUAUAGAACAAGAGUUGCAGGAAACUGGACUCUAUGCCGCUGCAGCUGCAUCCGUACAAUCCAACAAUUUCUCGGGCCUUUGAACAUUGGAUGUUUACCCUGUUGCAAGCAAUGAAGAAAUUAUAUCCUGC
This 13236-nucleotide long non-coding RNA is filed under the name Phoenix dactylifera (date palm). Its description in RNAcentral is "long non-coding RNA (PDAC_LNC003293)". Lineage: Eukaryota; Viridiplantae; Streptophyta; Magnoliopsida; Arecales; Arecaceae. The record is from RNAcentral.